This 253-nucleotide ribosomal RNA is filed under the name uncultured bacterium. RNAcentral's name for it is "partial 16S ribosomal RNA". It matches the Rfam family "Bacterial small subunit ribosomal RNA", at positions 524 to 776 of the family's 1533-position model. The record is from RNAcentral.
UACGGGGGGGGUAAGCGUUGUUCGGAAUUACUGGGCGUAAAGGGCUCGUAGGCGGCCAACUAAGUCAUACGUGAAAUCCCUCGGCUUAACCGGGGAACUGCGUCUGAUACCGGAUGGCUUGAGUUCGGGAGAGGGAUGCGGAAUUCCAGGUGUAGCGGUGAAAUUCGUAGAUAUUCGGAAGAACACCAGUGGCGAAGGCGGCUCACUGGCCCGUUACCGACGCUCAGGCGCGACAGCGUGGGGAGCAAACAGG